CCCCAAAUUCUAAGAAGUUGUAUCAAAGUUGCCCAAAGAUAUGGGGAGGGGGGCUUCCUGUGUCACCCCCCUGCCCUCCGGCAACCAGCAGCUUGCUCUCUGUAUCUGAGUCCACUUCUGUUUUGUUCAUUUGUUUUUAGAUUCCACAUACACACGAAAUCAUAUGGUAUUUCUCUGACUUCUUGCACUCAGCAUAAUGCUCUCCAGGCCCAUCCGUGUUGUUGCAAUGGCAAGAUUUGCCUCUUGUUUAUGGCUGAGUAGUAUUCCACGGUGUACACACAUUUUCUUUGCCCAGUCGUCUAUGGAUGGACAACGCUGGGUCGCUUCCGCAUCUUGACUAUUGUGAAUAACACUGCAGCCACCAUGAGGGUGACGCGGUGUAAGAAUCUGACGGUGGCAUCCAGGCUUUAUCAGAGGGACAGUACCACAGGCACAGGGAGGCGUGGGAACGGAGACGUGGGGGAGCUGGGCCCGGACGGCGUGCCGAACUGCCCCACACGCUUCCCGCCCUGUGUGUGACCAGGGAGGGAUUCUGUCACUCGUAACGAUCAGCAUCCUGACACCGUGUGUUUCCCAGAAGACCAGUUAGAUUUAAAGAUCAGCAGAAGUGACUACCUCUUCGUAAGUUACGCCUUUGCGUUUGCAAACGGGCAGUGUCUCCACGGACCGUCACCGCUCUCUGCGACUGUGUCGAAGCUGCCUUCACACAGAGGUCAGAGUGCCGGACUCCACGCCUGUGCGUUUCGUCAUCACAAACGGGCUCCCUUCUGCUUACUGUCUGGAUGUAUAAGAACUUGUACGGAUUAAUCGCUAAAGGCUUUCACUGCGUAUCACAGGUUUUCAGUAAAUCCGCUUGAGUUUCCCAGAUGCAUAAUCACAUUUAUAAAUAACUCUCCUUCCUUUCUGAUACUUCAGGAUUUACGGUCUCUUCUUGUUUAAUUACUGAUUUCAGUAGUUAAAGCUUCUAGAAAAUGUUUAAAUAAACACGUUUAUGUCAAGCAUCUUUGUUUUGUUCAACUUCAACGUUUGAUUUCCAUGUUUCCAAAACAGUAUUAAUGAAAUAUUACAUGUUUCAAUUUUA
Acinonyx jubatus (cheetah) is the source of this 1081-nucleotide long non-coding RNA. RefSeq lists it as uncharacterized. NCBI's taxonomy places the organism in Eukaryota, Metazoa, Chordata, Mammalia, Carnivora, Felidae. The transcript is spliced from 2 exons. The record is from RefSeq and is a predicted model, not a curated record.